RNAcentral lists this ribosomal RNA (497 nucleotides) under uncultured bacterium. Its description in RNAcentral is "partial 16S ribosomal RNA". It matches the Rfam family "Bacterial small subunit ribosomal RNA", at positions 28 to 507 of the family's 1533-position model. The record is from RNAcentral.
GAUGAACGCUGGCGGCGUGCCUAAUACAUGCAAGUCGAGCGAACAGACGAGGAGCUUGCUUCUCUGAUGUUAGCGGCGGACGGGUGAGUAACACGUGGAUAACCUACCUAUAAGACUGGGAUAACUUCGGGAAACCGUAGCUAAUACCGGAUAAUAUUUUGAACCGCAUGGUUCAAUAGUGAAAGACGGUCUUGCUGUCACUUAUAGAUGGAUCCGCGCUGCAUUAGCUAGUUGGUAAGGUAACGGCUUACCAAGGCAACGAUGCGUAGCCGACCUGAGAGGGUGAUCGGCCACACUGGAACUGAGACACGGUCCAGACUCCUACGGGAGGCAGCAGUAGGGAAUCUUCCGCAAAGGGCGAAAGCCUGACGGAGCAACGCCGCGUGAGUGAUGAAGGUCUUCGGAUCGUAAAACUCUGUUAUUAGGGAAGAACAGAUGUGUAAGUAACUGUGCACAUCUUGACGGUACCUAAUCAGAAAGCCACGGCUAACUACGUG